AUUGAACGCUGGCGGCAUGCCUUACACAUGCAAGUCGAACGGCAGCACGGGAGCAAUCCUGGUGGCGAGUGGCGAACGGGUGAGUAAUACAUCGGAACGUGCCCAAUCGUGGGGGAUAACGCAGCGAAAGCUGUGCUAAUACCGCAUACGAUCUACGGAUGAAAGCAGGGGAUCGCAAGACCUUGCGCGAAUGGAGCGGCCGAUGGCAGAUUAGGUAGUUGGUGAGGUAAAGGCUCACCAAGCCGUCGAUCUGUAGCUGGUCUGAGAGGACGACCAGCCACACUGGGACUGAGACACGGCCCAGACUCCUACGGGAGGCAGCAGUGGGGAAUUUUGGACAAUGGGCGAAAGCCUGAUCCAGCCAUGCCGCGUGCAGGAUGAAGGCCUUCGGGUUGUAAACUGCUUUUGUACGGAACGAAACGGCCUUUUCUAAUAAAGAGGGCUAAUGACGGUACCGUAAGAAUAAGCACCGGCUAACUACGUGCCAGCAGCCGCGGUAAUACGUAGGGUGCAAGCGUUAAUCGGAAUUACUGUGCGUAACCGUGCGCAGCUGUUAUGUAAGACAGUUUGUUAAUCCCCGGGUUUCGACAUGGGAACUGGAUCUGUG
RNAcentral lists this ribosomal RNA (607 nucleotides) under uncultured Comamonadaceae bacterium. RNAcentral's name for it is "bacterial SSU rRNA". It matches the Rfam family "Bacterial small subunit ribosomal RNA", at positions 28 to 631 of the family's 1533-position model. Lineage: Bacteria; Pseudomonadati; Pseudomonadota; Betaproteobacteria; Burkholderiales; Comamonadaceae. The record is from RNAcentral.